UGAGAAGUGAUCUGAAGACAACACAGAGGACAUAAAACAACAUGGUUGAGAGGUGAUCUGAAGACAACACAGAGGACAUAAAACAACAUGGUUGAGAAGUGAUCUGAAGACAACACAGAGGACAUAAAACAACAUGGUUGAGAAGUGAUCUGAAGACAACACAGAGGACAUAAAACAACAUGGUUGAGAGGUGAUCUGAAGACAACACAGAGGACAUAAAACAACACGGUUGAGAGGUGAUCUGAAGACAACACAGAGGACAUAAAACAACAUGGUUGAGAGGUGAUCUGAAGACAACACAGAGGACAUAAAACAACAUGGUUGAGAGGUGAUCUGAAGACAACACAGAGGACAUAAAACAACAUGGUUGAGAGGUGAUCUGAAGACAACACAGAGGACAUAAAACAACAUGGUUGAGAGGUGAUCUGAAGACAACACAGAGGACAUAAAACAACAUGGUUGAGAGGUGAUCUGAAGACAGAGGACAUAAAACAACAUGGUUGAGAGGUGAUCUGAAGACAACACAGAGGACAUAAAACAACAUGGUUGAGAGGUGAUCUGAAGACAACACAGAGGACAUAAAACAACAUGGUUGAGAGGUGAUCUGAA
This is a non-coding RNA of Oncorhynchus mykiss (rainbow trout), 609 nucleotides long. NCBI's taxonomy places the organism in Eukaryota, Metazoa, Chordata, Actinopteri, Salmoniformes, Salmonidae. The record is from RefSeq and is a predicted model, not a curated record.